UGGUGGCGUGCCUAAUACAUGCAAGUCGAACGAAGCUUUCUUUCACCGAAUGCUUGCAUUCACCGAAAGAAGCUUAGUGGCGAACGGGUGAGUAACACGUAGGCAACCUGCCCAAAAGAGGGGGAUAACACUUGGAAACAGGUGCUAAUACCGCAUAACCAUGAACACCGCAUGAUGUUCAUGUAAAAGACGGCUUUUGCUGUCACUUUUGGAUGGGCCUGCGGCGUAUUAACUUGUUGGUGGGGUAACGGCCUACCAAGGUGAUGAUACGUAGCCGAACUGAGAGGUUGAUCGGCCACAUUGGGACUGAGACACGGCCCAAACUCCUACGGGAGGCAGCAGUAGGGAAUCUUCCACAAUGGACGAAAGUCUGAUGGAGCAACGCCGCGUGAAUGAAGAAGGCCUUCGGGUCGUAAAAUUCUGUUGUCAGAGAAGAACGUGCGUGAGAGUAACUGUUCACGUAUUGACGGUAUCUGACCAGAAAGCCACGGCUAACUACGUGCCAGCAGCCGCGGUAAUACGUAGGUGGCGAGCGUUGUCCGGAUUUAUUGGGCGUAAAGGGAACGCAGGCGGUCUUUUAAGUCUGAUGUGAAAGCCUUCGGCUUAACCGAAGUAGUGCAUUGGAAACUGGAAGACUUGAGUGCAGAAGAGGAGAGUGGAACUCCAUGUGUAGCGGUGAAAUGCGUAGAUAUAUGGAAGAACACCAGUGGCGAAAGCGGCUCUCUGGUCUGUAACUGACGCUGAGGUUCGAAAGCGUGGGUAGCAAUCAGGAUUAGAUACCCUGGUAGUCCACGCCGUAAACGAUGAGUGCUAAGUGUUGGAGGGUUUCCGCCCUUCAGUGCUGCAGCUAACGCAUUAAGCACUCCGCCUGGGGAGUAC
RNAcentral lists this ribosomal RNA (879 nucleotides) under uncultured bacterium. Its description in RNAcentral is "bacterial SSU rRNA". It matches the Rfam family "Bacterial small subunit ribosomal RNA", at positions 37 to 883 of the family's 1533-position model. The record is from RNAcentral.